Molecule: ribosomal RNA, 454 nt
Filed under: Streptococcus cristatus
Lineage: Bacteria; Bacillati; Bacillota; Bacilli; Lactobacillales; Streptococcaceae
Description: bacterial SSU rRNA
Rfam family: Bacterial small subunit ribosomal RNA
Source: RNAcentral
GACGAACGCUGGCGGCGUGCCUAAUACAUGCAAGUAGAACGCUGAAGAGAGGAGCUUGCUCUUCUUGGAUGAGUUGCGAACGGGUGAGUAACGCGUAGGUAACCUGCCUGGUAGCGGGGGAUAACUAUUGGAAACGAUAGCUAAUACCGCAUAAAAUUGAUUAUUGCAUGAUAGUCAAUUGAAAGGUGCAACUGCACCACUACCAGAUGGACCUGCGUUGUAUUAGCUAGUUGGUGGGGUAACGGCUCACCAAGGCGACGAUACAUAGCCGACCUGAGAGGGUGAUCGGCCACACUGGGACUGAGACACGGCCCAGACUCCUACGGGAGGCAGCAGUAGGGAAUCUUCGGCAAUGGACGGAAGUCUGACCGAGCAACGCCGCGUGAGUGAAGAAGGUUUUCGGAUCGUAAAGCUCUGUUGUAAGAGGAGAACGAGUGUGAGAGUGGAAAGUUCA